AUGAGCCAGAAUGGAUCGUUCCAUGUUUGUGAGAAUGGGUCCCUCCCAGCCAACAGCUCUGCCUCUGUCCCUGUGGGGGACCCUGGGCUGCAGUCCACGUGCGAAUAUGUAUGUAUCCCAGUGUGCAACCCCAACUGCAACUCAGGGGGCCCGCCCGUGUACGACUUUGUGUACCUCCCUGCAGGCCAUCCCUUAUGCAACUCCAUUUGCAACCCAGGCUUCAACCCAAACAUCAGUCUUGGUUUUGAUCCUGGAUGUGAUUCUGGCUUCCAUGUUUUAUGCGAGACUAUGCCUCCCCCUACCUAUGUCCCAAUGCCUCCCACCAGGUAUGGCUCUAUGCCUGUCCCAGCAUCCAACCCUGUGUGCACCCCAGUGCCUCAGGCGAUGUUUGAGUCAGGGUCUGGCUCCGCACACCAGCCCGGAGGGGGACCAAUGUCUUAUUCUGUGUCUGUCCCAACAAAUAACGCAGUGAAUGCUCUGCUGAAUCACUUUAUGGCUGGCUCCAGCCCCAGCUCAGCAUCCCACGCAGUCCCUACCCACGUGUCUGCUUCUCCAUCCCACCCCGUGUGCUCUCCAGUAUCUCACUCUGUGCCACAACCAACAGUCCUUUCUGGACCUGCUGCCUCCCUCUCCCAUGUGUGUGGCUCUGCACCCUCUCCAACAUCUCAGCCUGCCUGGGGCUCAAUGGCCACUCUACCAUCUCAACCCAUGAGUGGCCCAGUAGCCCACACCGUGUGCUCCCCAGGCCCUUGCCCAGGGGCUUCCCCAGUGCCCCUCGUUGCACGCAGCUCUACCCCAGUGCUGCACAUGGGCAAUGUCUCCAUGUCCCAUUCGGCAUGCACCCCAACCCCUCGCCCCAUGGGGCCCCCUGCAUCCCACUCGCUGUGCUCCCCGGCCUCCCUCUCCAUGGGAGCUGCAGCAGCAGGCUCUCCAACCUCGCGCCCGGAGGACGUGUCAGCAGGCUGCUUCAUGUGCCCCUCAACCUCACGUCCUUUGGGAACUGCAACAGCCCGGUCUGUGUGCACCCCGGCAUCCCGCCCUGCGUCGCGGGUCAUGUGCGCCCCGGCAUCCCGCUCCCUGUGCGGCCCACAGUGGGGUCCCUCAUGCAACACCGUUUCGCGCUCAGCCUUGCACUCCAACUGGGCUCCCGCCUCUYGGUCGGCAUGGGGCACCAUGGGGCGCUCUGCGUAUAACCCCCUGCCCCGCACCUUGUAUAGCACGCUCUCACGCCCUGGUUACAACACUCUGUCCCGCUCCUCCUAUAACAACACCUUGUCUCACUCUGCGUAUACCACCCUGCCCCGCUGUACCUCUCCGUCGGCUUAUGCCACCCUGCCCCGCUCGGGGUCCUGCUCUUUGUACAGCCCCCUGCCUCGCUCGGGAUCCCGUACAACGUGGAACCCGGGUAAGAACACUCUCACCUACUUUAAACGCAAAUAUGUGUAA
Molecule: long non-coding RNA, 1446 nt
Filed under: Apteryx haastii (Great spotted kiwi)
Lineage: Eukaryota; Metazoa; Chordata; Aves; Apterygiformes; Apterygidae
Description: lncRNA (ENSAHAG00000018553.1)
Source: RNAcentral